RNAcentral lists this ribosomal RNA (429 nucleotides) under uncultured Alphaproteobacteria bacterium. RNAcentral describes it as "bacterial SSU rRNA". It matches the Rfam family "Bacterial small subunit ribosomal RNA", at positions 34 to 509 of the family's 1533-position model. The record is from RNAcentral. Lineage: Bacteria; Pseudomonadati; Pseudomonadota; Alphaproteobacteria.
CGCUGGCGGCAGGCCUAACACAUGCAAGUCGAGCGCACUCUUCGGAGUGAGCGGCGGACGGGUUAGUAACGCGUGGGAACGUACCCAGAUCUAAGGAAUAGCCACUGGAAACGGUGAGUAAUACCUUAUACGCCCUUCGGGGGAAAGAUUUAUCGGAUUUGGAUCGGCCCGCGUUAGAUUAGGUAGUUGGUGGGGUAAUGGCCUACCAAGCCUACGAUCUAUAGCUGGUUUUAGAGGAUGAUCAGCAACACUGGGACUGAGACACGGCCCAGACUCCUACGGGAGGCAGCAGUGGGGAAUCAUAGACAAUGGGCGCAAGCCUGAUCUAGCCAUGCCGCAUGAGUGAUGAAGGCCUUAGGGUCGUAAAGCUCUUUCGCCUGUGAUGAUAAUGACAGUAGCAGGUAGAGAAACCCCGGCUAACUCCGUGCC